GGGGUUGUGGCUUAGCGGUAGAGCGCUCACCUAGCACGGGCGAAGCCCUGGGUUCCAUUCCCAACACCACA
RNAcentral lists this transfer RNA (71 nucleotides) under Marmota monax (woodchuck). Its description in RNAcentral is "tRNA.Ala". Lineage: Eukaryota; Metazoa; Chordata; Mammalia; Rodentia; Sciuridae. The record is from RNAcentral.